This 1767-nucleotide ribosomal RNA is filed under the name Triticum aestivum (bread wheat). RNAcentral describes it as "partial small subunit ribosomal RNA". Lineage: Eukaryota; Viridiplantae; Streptophyta; Magnoliopsida; Poales; Poaceae. The record is from RNAcentral.
AUGCAUCGAGUCCUCCGCGCGGCUGCGGCGGCGGCCGCGGGGAUCGCCACGGCCCCGGCUCGCCGCCACCGCGCGCCGAGCUGGGGCGCGGCCACGGCCAGGUGGUUCUCGGUCGAACGGGAGGCGAUGAGCUACGACGUCGUGAUCGUGGGCGCCGGCCCGGCGGGCCUCGCCGCCGCCAUCCGGCUGAAGCAGCUCUGCCGCGCGGCCGACACCGACCUCUCCGUCUGCGUCCUCGAGAAGGGAGCCGAAGUCGGUGCUCAUAUACUGUCAGGGAAUGUGUUCGAGCCCCGUGCGUUGGAUGAGCUCAUCCCGAAGUGGAGGCAAGAGGAUGUAUGCCCUUCUGUAUUCUGCAUUCGAUAUGCCCCAAUCAGAGUCCCUGUCUCAUCUGACAAGUUCUGGAUGUUAACAAAGAACAAGGCAUGGACACUUCCAUCUCCUUUUGAUAACAAAGGGAACUAUGUAAUAAGCUUGAGCCAAUUGGUGCGAUGGAUGUCCGUAAAGGCUGAAGAAUUAGGUGUUGAAGUGUAUCCAGGGUUUGCUGCGAGUGAGAUCCUUUAUGAUGAAAAUCAAAUAGUCGCAGGCGUUGCAACCAAUGAUGUUGGUAUUGCUAAAGAUGGUAGUAAACGGGAAACUUUUCAACCGGGUGUGGAACUAAGAGGGCGAAUAAUACUUCUAGCUGAGGGUUGCCGGGGUUCAUUAUCAGAGAAAAUAAUAACGAAUCACAAGCUCAGAGAAAGUGGGCAAGGCCAACAUCAAACGUAUGCUCUUGGAAUCAAAGAGGUCUGGGAGAUAGAAGAAGGAAAGCAUAAGCCAGGUUCUGUGGUUCAUACUGUAGGGUGGCCUUUGGACAUGAAGACAUAUGGAGGAUCAUUUCUAUACCACCUUGAUGAUAGACAGUUAGCAAUUGGUCUGGUUGUUGCCUUGAAUUAUCGAAAUCCUUUUCUCAGCCCAUACGAUGAGUUCCAGAAAUUCAAGCAGCACCCUGCGAUCAGAACACUUCUGGAAGGUGGAACAGUUCUUCAGUAUGGUGCUCGUACUUUGAAUGAAGGUGGUUUUCAGUCAAUACCAAAUCCAGUUUUCCCCGGUGGUGCAAUUAUUGGAUGCUCUGCAGGGUUCCUAAAUGUUCCCAAAAUAAAAGGAUCACAUACCGCUAUGAAAUCAGGUAUGCUUGCGGCAGAAGCAACUUUCAAGGCUCUGGUUGAAGGAUCUUCCAUUGAUCUGUACUGGGAGAAUCUCAAGAAGUCAUGGAUAUGGGACGAACUCUAUAGAGCUCGGAAUUAUAGACCAGCAUUUGAAUACGGAUUUAUUCCUGGCAUGGCCUUGUCAGCAGUGGAACGCUACAUAUUCAAAGGGAAGUCACCUUUUACACUGAAGCAUGGGAAGCCUGACCAUGAAGCUACAGAAAUGGUCAAUCUGCAUUCGCCUAUUUCGUAUCCAAAACCAGAUGGGCAGGUGUCCUUUGACGUUCCGUCUUCUUUAUACAGGAGCAACACAAACCAUGAGCAUGACCAGCCUCCUCAUCUCCGGUUGAGGGAUCCUGCAGUACCUGAAACCGUAAAUCUCCCACAGUAUGCUGGACCAGAGUCGCGUUAUUGUCCAGCUCGAGUUUACGAAUAUGUAUCUGACGAGAAUGGUGACCCGAAGCUUCACAUAAAUGCUCAAAAUUGUCUUCAUUGCAAGGCUUGUGACAUAAAAGAUCCAAAGCAAAACAUCGAGUGGACUGUCCCGGAAGGCGGAGGAGGACCUGGUUACACAGUGAUGUGA